GAGUUUGAUCCUGGCUCAGAUUGAACGCUGGCGGCAUGCCUUACACAUGCAAGUCGAACGGCAGCACGGGAGCUUGCUCCUGGUGGCGAGUGGCGAACGGGUGAGUAAUGCAUCGGAACGUAUCCUGGAGUGGGGGAUAACGUAGCGAAAGUUACGCUAAUACCGCAUAUUCUGUGAGCAGGAAAGCGGGGGACCUUCGGGCCUCGCGCUCUUGGAGCGGCCGAUGUCGGAUUAGCUAGUUGGUGAGGUAAAGGCUCACCAAGGCGACGAUCCGUAGCAGGUCUGAGAGGAUGAUCUGCCACACUGGAACUGAGACACGGU
Molecule: ribosomal RNA, 321 nt
Filed under: bacterium enrichment culture clone ALO1_GLFRUDD03GI24U
Lineage: Bacteria
Description: bacterial SSU rRNA
Rfam family: Bacterial small subunit ribosomal RNA
Source: RNAcentral